GGGUUGUGAGGUUAAGCGACUAAGCGUACACGGUGGAUGCCCUGGCAGUCAGAGGCGAUGAAGGACGUGCUAAUCUGCGAAAAGCGUCGGUAAGGUGAUAUGAACCGUUACAGCCGGCGAUGUCCGAAUGGGGAAACCCAGUGCAAUUCGUUGCACUAUCGUUAACUGAAUACAUAGGUUAACGAGGCGAACCGGGGGAACUGAAACAUCUAAGUACCCCGAGGAAAAGAAAUCAACCGAGAUUCCCCCAGUAGCGGCGAGCGAACGGGGAGCAGCCCAGAGUCUGAAUCAGCUUGUGUGUUAGUGGAACGGUCUGGAAAGUCCGACGGUACAGGGUGAUAGUCCCGUACACCAAAAUGCACAGGCUGUGAACUCGAAGAGUAGGGCGGGACACGUGGUAUCCUGUCUGAAUAUGGGGGGACCAUCCUCCAAGGCUAAAUACUCCUGACUGACCGAUAGUGAACCAGUACCGUGAGGGAAAGGCGAAAAGAACCCCGGCGAGGGGAGUGAAAAAGAACCUGAAACCGUGUACGUACAAGCAGUGGGAGCACCUUCGGGUGUGACUGCGUACCUUUUGUAUAAUGGGUCAGCGACUUAUAUUCUGUAGCAAGGUUAACCGUAUAGGGGAGCCGCAGGGAAACCGAGUCUUAACUGGGCGUUAAGUUGCAGGGUAUAGACCCGAAACCCGGUGAUCUAGCCAUGGGCAGGUUGAAGGUUGGGUAACACUAACUGGAGGACCGAACCGACUAAUGUUGAAAAAUUAGCGGAUGACUUGUGGCUGGGGGUGAAAGGCCAAUCAAACCGGGAGAUAGCUGGUUCUCCCCGAAAGCUAUUUAGGUAGCGCCUCGUGAACUCAUCUUCGGGGGGUAGAGCACUGUUUCGGCUAGGGGGUCAUCCCGACUUACCAACCCGAUGCAAACUACGAAUACCGAAGAAUGUUAUCACGGGAGACACACGGCGGGUGCUAACGUCCGUCGUGAAGAGGGAAACAACCCAGACCGCCAGCUAAGGUCCCAAAGUCAUGGUUAAGUGGGAAACGAUGUGGGAAGGCACAGACAGCCAGGAUGUUGGCUUAGAAGCAGCCAUCAUUUAAAGAAAGCGUAAUAGCUCACUGGUCGAGUCGGCCUGCGCGGAAGAUGUAACGGGGCUAAACCAUGCACCGAAGCUGCGGCAGCGACACUAUGUGUUGUUGGGUAGGGGAGCGUUCUGUAAGCCUGCGAAGGUGUGCUGUGAGGCAUGCUGGAGGUAUCAGAAGUGCGAAUGCUGACAUAAGUAACGAUAAAGCGGGUGAAAAGCCCGCUCGCCGGAAGACCAAGGGUUCCUGUCCAACGUUAAUCGGGGCAGGGUGAGUCGACCCCUAAGGCGAGGCCGAAAGGCGUAGUCGAUGGGAAACAGGUUAAUAUUCCUGUACUUGGUGUUACUGCGAAGGGGGGACGGAGAAGGCUAUGUUAGCCGGGCGACGGUUGUCCCGGUUUAAGCAUGUAGGCUGGUUGUCCAGGCAAAUCCGGAUAAUCAAGGCUGAGGUGUGAUGACGAGGCACUACGGUGCUGAAGUAACAAAUGCCCUGCUUCCAGGAAAAGCCUCUAAGCAUCAGGUAACAUCAAAUCGUACCCCAAACCGACACAGGUGGUCAGGUAGAGAAUACCAAGGCGCUUGAGAGAACUCGGGUGAAGGAACUAGGCAAAAUGGUGCCGUAACUUCGGGAGAAGGCACGCUGGUGUGUAGGUGAAGUCCCUGCGGAUGGAGCUGAGACCAGUCGAAGAUACCAGCUGGCUGCAACUGUUUAUUAAAAACACAGCACUGUGCAAACACGAAAGUGGACGUAUACGGUGUGACGCCUGCCCGGUGCCGGAAGGUUAAUUGAUGGGGUUAUCCGUAAGGAGAAGCUCUUGAUCGAAGCCCCGGUAAACGGCGGCCGUAACUAUAACGGUCCUAAGGUAGCGAAAUUCCUUGUCGGGUAAGUUCCGACCUGCACGAAUGGCGUAAUGAUGGCCAGGCUGUCUCCACCCGAGACUCAGUGAAAUUGAACUCGCUGUGAAGAUGCAGUGUACCCGCGGCAAGACGGAAAGACCCCGUGAACCUUUACUAUAGCUUGACACUGAACAUUGAGCCUUGAUGUGUAGGAUAGGUGGGAGGCUUUGAAGCGUGGACGCCAGUCUGCGUGGAGCCAACCUUGAAAUACCACCCUUUAAUGUUUGAUGUUCUAACGUUGGCCCCUUACCGGGGUUGCGGACAGUGUCUGGUGGGUAGUUUGACUGGGGCGGUCUCCUCCCAAAGCGUAACGGAGGAGCACGAAGGUUAGCUAAUCCUGGUCGGACAUCAGGAGGUUAGUGCAAUGGCAUAAGCUAGCUUGACUGCGAGCGUGACGGCGCGAGCAGGUGCGAAAGCAGGUCAUAGUGAUCCGGUGGUUCUGAAUGGAAGGGCCAUCGCUCAACGGAUAAAAGGUACUCCGGGGAUAACAGGCUGAUACCGCCCAAGAGUUCAUAUCGACGGCGGUGUUUGGCACCUCGAUGUCGGCUCAUCACAUCCUGGGGCUGAAGUAGGUCCCAAGGGUAUGGCUGUUCGCCAUUUAAAGUGGUACGCGAGCUGGGUUUAGAACGUCGUGAGACAGUUCGGUCCCUAUCUGCCGUGGGCGCUGGAGAAUUGAGGGGGGCUGCUCCUAGUACGAGAGGACCGGAGUGGACGCAUCACUGGUGUUCGGGUUGUCAUGCCAAUGGCACUGCCCGGUAGCUAAAUGCGGAAGAGAUAAGUGCUGAAAGCAUCUAAGCACGAAACUUGCCCCGAGAUGAGUUCUCCCUGAGACUUUAAGUCUCCUGAAGGAACGUUAAAGACGAUGACGUUGAUAGGCCGGGUGUGUAAGCGCAGCGAUGCGUUGAGCUAACCGGUACUAAUGAACCGUGAGGCUUAACCUUACAACGCCGAAG
This 2924-nucleotide ribosomal RNA is filed under the name Klebsiella pneumoniae. RNAcentral's name for it is "bacterial LSU rRNA". It matches the Rfam family "Bacterial large subunit ribosomal RNA". The record is from RNAcentral. Lineage: Bacteria; Pseudomonadati; Pseudomonadota; Gammaproteobacteria; Enterobacterales; Enterobacteriaceae.